AUUUGUUGAGGGCAAUGAACAGAUUCACUCAGGUGGAUGUAGUAGAUGAUGGGUCGUGUAAGCACUGUACAGCUUCGAUAUUUGCUGUGGCUUCAUUCUGUGAGAGGCACAAAGACUGUCACACUCAAGUCGGAACAGAUAUUCCAUGUGUUUGGGACAAUUUUUUAAGCCUCGUGUCAUCUCAUCUUGUAUUGGCCAAUUACAUAAAACUACAGGACUAUACAGGAGAAGAACCUGAAGUUAGCGCUCACCAUUCAAUAAACAACCCAUGCAAGUCCUUGAACAACAACUCUAUUAAAGAAAUUGAAGAAAAAAAAUUGUUUCAACUCCUGUGUUUUUACACAAAAUGUGGAUUUUUCUGUGAGCAAAUACAUUAUGAUCCUUUGAAAUUUGAGGAAAUAGUACAAAAAUGUGAAUAUCUCUUCGACAAACAUUUGAAAGUUGCAAUUAUGUCUCUCUAAGUAUAGCAGAGCAACAAAUUUGUAAAUGAGAUAAGCAUGUAAUGCAUAAUAAUUUAUGGCAUUCUUGAUUAUAACAGUGAGGAAAAACUUAAAACACUUUUGGUCUAAGGUACAGGAUUCAUUAAUAUUCAUAAUUUAUUGAUGGCAGAAUACCUGAACUGAUAAAUAUAAAUUAGGAACAAACAAUAAAAUAUUUCAAUCAUCA
This is a long non-coding RNA of Saccostrea echinata, 666 nucleotides long. RefSeq lists it as uncharacterized. The record is from RefSeq and is a predicted model, not a curated record. NCBI's taxonomy places the organism in Eukaryota, Metazoa, Mollusca, Bivalvia, Ostreida, Ostreidae. The transcript has 2 exons.